AAACCAGAAUCUUUUAUAACCAUCCCAUUUAUCGAAUUUGUUCUCACCUAUGAUAUUACCACAGUCUUUAAAGAUCCCAUCAGAUCAGCUAAAGGAUCUAUCUUCAUAUCCAGGAGCCAACUUUGAGAUGCAUAAUUAUAUUUGCCAUUAGAAGACGUUCGUCCUCGUCUUCUCAUUGGAUUGCAAUUCCAUUAAAUAUAUUGCUCGAGCUCCCAGGUUAAGCUUGAUUUAAAUUUGCAUACAUUUUCAUAUAUUUAGGAGAAAUAAAAGAAGGCUGCAGCCACCAGAAAGUCAUUAAAGUGCGCCGAGCUGCUGGUGGAGAGACGGAGGAGAGUGGAGAGUGGAGGCCCGGAGCAGGUGAACUUAACCGCGGGCUGGAAGUGUGGACAGGAGUCGCUGGAGGGUUGGAGAGCCGCAGGGGCCCCUCGGUGUAAACCGGAGGAAUCACAGUGAAAGGAAGACUAACGACCACCUUGUGGAAGCUAAUGAGGAUCCAAAUAAAGAAUAAAGAGCACAGGGUACGUCUGGCUUUGGAGCUGAAGGCCCAGCUGCACCCACAGGUUUCCCCUCAUCAACAUCAUCAUCAUCAUCAUCAACAUCAUCACUUUUACUCUCACGUGUGUAAUGUAAUUCAUACAAGGGAAAAUGUUUCUCCAUACAUUUUCAAGGAGGCC
RNAcentral lists this long non-coding RNA (674 nucleotides) under Gouania willdenowi (blunt-snouted clingfish). RNAcentral's name for it is "lncRNA (ENSGWIG00000025625.1)". The record is from RNAcentral. Lineage: Eukaryota; Metazoa; Chordata; Actinopteri; Blenniiformes; Gobiesocidae.